GCGAGGCGGCGCCCGAGACAAGCGAACAGGAAAUCACGGAGGAGGCGAAGGAAGGAAGAGGCAAUCAUGUUCCGGCGGGCUGUGGGUUCCCUCCUCGCACGGGGGUUCUCGCCUCGUGCGACCCCAAGCACUGCUCCUGCGCGCUCUCUCCACUCCUCGAGGGAUCUCGCCAUCGGUAAUGGCCUUCUUGCUGCUUAUGUUUUUGCCGCGGGUAUGUUGGCUGGUGGCGGUGGGGGGUUGGUGAUUCUGCAUUUCAAGCAAGGCACUGGUGUUGAUCGAUCAGCUGCUGCUGGCAAGCUGAACCACAAGGUCAAGUUUAAGAAGCCGGACAUGAAGCAGAAGUUUGAGCGUUGGAUUGUCGAGCACGAAAAGACAUACCGGGAUGAGGAAGAGAAGGCUAUGCGGUUCGAAUUGUUCAAGGCCUCCCUCGAGAGUAUGGAAGCGCAGCUCCCGCCGGUCGAGGAGAGUGGUGUGCUUCCACAGGUAAGCUGUUUGGCAGACUUUACAGACGAGGAGAGACGGGCGAUGUACGGAAUUAAGAGGAGUGCCCAGGAGUACAGCGAGAUGGUCAAGUCUGCCUGGGCCAAGCAAGAGAAAGGAGAGCCCUAUUGAUAAGGAGGCCAGGCAUGAAGCAGAGCGACACGCGGGCAACUCAAGGCUCUGCAUAGAAUGGUGCCUGGUCAAUAAAUCAGGAGGCGACAUGGUGCCACACGAGAAUGGUAUGCAGAAUAUGACCGAUGCUUAUGUUCAUGGACAAUAGGAUCCAACCGCUGCAUGACACACAUUGCUUCGUGCCAACUGAAACCAGAGGCAAGGGCUAGCAAAUGUUAACAUGUUUAUUUAGAUUUAUGGCCCAAGAAGUGGUUAAAUUUUUGUCCGUUUUAUGAUCACUUCACCAAUAGUAUUUCUACUUCUUUUUUUUUUUUGGUUACCUUUUGCAUUUCUGAUGUUUAAUGAUGUGAUGAUCUUAACAAUAGAUCUUCA
Molecule: RNA transcript, 984 nt
Organism: Triticum dicoccoides
Lineage: Eukaryota; Viridiplantae; Streptophyta; Magnoliopsida; Poales; Poaceae
Exons: 6
Source: RefSeq, a predicted model, not a curated record